GGCAUGGUGGCUCAGUGGUUAGAGCGCCCGCCUCAUGAACGGGAGGUUCGAUCCCGGCCGGCCGAGUCA
Molecule: transfer RNA, 69 nt
Filed under: Strongylocentrotus purpuratus (purple sea urchin)
Lineage: Eukaryota; Metazoa; Echinodermata; Echinoidea; Camarodonta; Strongylocentrotidae
Rfam family: tRNA (bases 1-60)
About the family: Transfer RNA (tRNA) molecules are approximately 80 nucleotides in length. Their secondary structure includes four short double-helical elements and three loops (D, anti-codon, and T loops). Further hydrogen bonds mediate the characteristic L-shaped molecular structure. tRNAs have two regions of fundamental functional importance: the anti-codon, which is responsible for specific mRNA codon recognition, and the 3' end, to which the tRNAs corresponding amino acid is attached (by aminoacyl-tRNA synthetases). tRNAs cope with the degeneracy of the genetic code in two manners: having more than one tRNA (with a specific anti-codon) for a particular amino acid; and 'wobble' base-pairing, i.e. permitting non-standard base-pairing at the 3rd anti-codon position.
Source: Rfam by way of RNAcentral